Molecule: non-coding RNA, 2888 nt
Organism: Physcomitrium patens
Lineage: Eukaryota; Viridiplantae; Streptophyta; Bryopsida; Funariales; Funariaceae
Source: RefSeq, a predicted model, not a curated record
AUCACUGGUGUUAAUUGUGCUGUGAAGGCUUUGCUGCGUUGUGCUCGGUAAGCUAAUGUUUUCUAGUCGCUGUAAUAUUUAAGCGUUUUCAGUCCCUCGAAAAACCGGACGUUCCAAGUUUUGUUCGAGUUCAAUGCCAUAGCCCUAGUCCAUUCUGCCAGCAACAAUGUCUUUUCGUUUUCAUCGUCCAAUAGGUGCCUAUUGAAGGCUGGUUGGUUUUGUGUUCUUAAAUGUUGCUGAUGAAUUUUUAAGACUACAGGUGCGUGGUCUGAGACGUGAGUAAGGGAAUGCCAGAUAGCAGUCUGUCCUCCAAGUUGGAUAAGAGUAUGGUUUAAGUAAAAUCUAUCUAAGCCGGAACAGAUCAUUCCUGGGGCAUUACGUCUAUUAUCCCAGAACUUCUUCGUGGAUAGUUUCCUAAAUUCAUCCGCUCUAAAACUAUCCUGAAGGCCUAGGUGUACCUGUAAGUCUCCCCAGGGUACUUGUUCUCUUUGGCCACGGCCGAUGAUGUCUUGCCUUCCUUGUUUAUCAUCUAAUUGAUCUAUCAUAUUGAAGUCUCCGCCUAGGAUCCAGUGGGCUUCAGGCAGUGGAUAGUGUCGUAUUUUAGUCCAUAACCUUGUUCGAGAUCCAGUAUAGUUAAAUGCAUAUAUUUUUUAAAUCCCGAUUUUCAGAAAAGAUGUCCAUUGGAGGGUAACAUACUGAACCAUUCCUUUCAUUAUGACCCCAUGUUCGCAGAUGAGGCUUGCUAUUUUUUCUGAUAAUAGUAUACCCGUGCCCCCCUUAAAGCUAUCUUUUUGAGCGCAAUAGGUUGCCUCAUUCCAGAGAGAGACGCCUUUUGCAAAUUCAAUCUGUUUUGUGUGCCUCUUCCCUUCUUCUAGUGAUAACUUGUGCUCUUGAACCAGAAUUAUUUCUGGUUUGGGAUUUCUGGAAGAAAUCUCGUAUCUCACGUCGCUUACGGACUCCAUUGAUGUCGCGUCCUAGUCCUUGCACGUUAAGCGACGUGAGAGUAAGGUGGUUAUUCAUCUAUCACGUCCGGUUAAGGAGUUGUGGACUUCCCUUCUUUAUCAUCUUUAUGAUUCGGUACAGUAGCAUUAUGCUGUGACGUUGAGGCCCCUGGAAGUCUUGUGGUAUUAUAGCCCAGGAAGGCUGGUAGCUCAUUUGAAUCCAAGUCCCAAGCCUGUGUUCUGUCCUGUGUGAAUCGCCUGAGGUCUUCCUGUAUGGUCAUGGGGAGUACUUCCCACUGUUGCCUGGUGCUGUUACGCGGUGCACAGAUUUCCUCAUCGUAUUUGAUUAAUGCUGUGAUUGUGCAUAAAGGUGGGUGUGUGGUUGAUUUUGACCAUGUGAAGAGCCAGCACGCGUCCUCCCACACCCGAAGUGGGUUGACAUGUUUGUGUUUCAACACUACUUGUCCUCGUAUGUGAAGCAUGGUCUCAUUGACGACAUGAGUACGAGCCGAUAAUUGGGUCCAUUCCUAUUCCCCUUGUCCAUGUGUCAGCGUGAGUAUGUUUUCCGGUUUCUUUUGGGUGCCCUCGGUCUCGGUGAGAACCUCUAGAAGGUUUUUGUUCUCUCUGUAGAAUCCCGUAACUAUUACUGCAGAAGCUGUGGUUUCCAAGAUCCGGCUUGGUGAUAUUGCUCUCCAAAAGUUUUUGUGUAGAUCUGGUGUUCUGUGUCCAUAUGUCCCUGCCUGGAGUGUAUCUGUAGAGGUUUGGCUGUUCUGCUGAUCACGUUUCGGUUACCAAAUGAAAGUAGGCUGUUUAGUGUUCGGUCCCUUGUGUGGGCUUGUAUGUGGGGGUGGUGUCGGGUUCCCAUCUACAGCCCUAGUUGUGUUUGUAUUCUGUGUCUUGCCAUUGCUUCGUUGUGUGCGUUUUGUGUUCUGUCUUCCGAUUGCCGGUCGUCGUGCUACUUGGCAUUUUUGUACCAAGUGGUCAAACGAUCGACAUCUACUACAUUUAGAGGAAAGACCGCUAUAUUCUAGAGAGUAUUCUAUUUCUCCCUCAUUGUCUAGUCUUGGUAUAAUGAUGGAGUGGGGUAGAGCUUCUACAUUGCUUGUAAGGAUGCGUACUCUGGGUCCUGAUAGCCUGGUAAGGUAUGUGUAUGUAUCGUCUACAAAUAACACUUCGCUAAAAUUCUCAAAAGUUUCUCUCAGAAACUUUUGGGUUCGAAGAAAUGGAGUGUGCUGCUGCAGGUGCACUUCGUAUCACUGAUAGUACCACUACUCGAAAGACCCCACUCAAACUGCUAGAUUACGCACUAAUCAACAUCCCUGAAUUUUCGGAUCUAGGUUAGAGUUACAUCUCCGCGUUUCACGGAGACCCCCAAGGCCAAGGCAAUUAUAUCACUUGGAUCCAAACCAGUCUGCAUGAAACGAAUCGACAACUUCAAUCUCAUGGUAACACUUCAUUACCCACCUCAGCAAUUAAACGGAGGACAAGCUCUAUUCCCAGCUUGUUGCAACCUAGCAACGACACGCGUUCGACAUACAGAGACUUGGAAAAUCGGUAAGAUGUGGAGUCACAUGGGCGGCGAAUCAUCCUUGUCCCCUUGAAAAGACCAGGGACUGAGACAUAGCAGUUGACAAGGUCAAUAAACUCAUAUCAGUAGUUCGGCUUCAGGCCUUAUGUUGGAAGCAGUUGGUUGUUACUAAUUGAUAGUAUGCCACCCUCUUGGAAACCGGUCCUGUAUAGACAACCUCGACGUCCAGCCUUAUUAGAGUGGAUAGUUAUAUGUAAUGUGGGAAUUCGAUGUCAUUAGUCAAUCCGAUGAUUGCAAACAUCUGGAACAGUAAAUUUAAAAAUGUACAUGACUUGUAUAAAUUUAUGUACGCUCGUGUGUGAGUUGCUACUGUUCAGUGUAAACCUGAUGUGAAUAAAGUUUGUCUUUUGUUUAAAAUC